Molecule: unclassified non-coding RNA, 210 nt
Filed under: uncultured fungus
Lineage: Eukaryota; Fungi
Description: sequence contains ITS1
Source: RNAcentral
UUUUUUUUUGUUAUGAUUUUUGUUACAUUCUUUGACUAGUGUUAAAAAAUGAAAAUCCGCAAAGUAUUCCUAAUUGGGUGUUACCCCGACAUAAGAAACCUCGCUAAGAUUAAAAGUGCACAGUGUUUGGGAUUGUGAGGGUAGGGCCUCUAACAGCAUAGAUGCGCCCAAAAUUCACUAAUGAUCCUUCCGCAGGUUCACCUACGGAAA